GGAGGCGGCAGUAGGGAAUCUUCCGCAAUGGGCGAAAGCCUGACGGAGCAACGCCGCGUGAGUGAUGAAGGUCUUCGGAUCGUAAAACUCUGUUAUUAGGGAAGAACAAAUGUGUAAGUAACUAUGCACGUCUUGACGGUACCUAAUCAGAAAGCCACGGCUAACUACGUGCCAGCAGCCGCGGUAAUACGUAGGUGGCAAGCGUUAUCCGGAAUUAUUGGGCGUAAAGCGCGCGUAGGCGGUUUUUUCAGUCUGAUGUGAAAGCCCACGGCUCAACCGUGGAGGGUCAUUGGAAACUGGAAAACUUGAGUGCAGAAGAGGAAAGUGGAAUUCCAUGUGUAGCGGUGAAAUGCGCAGAGAUAUGGAGGAACACCAGUGGCGAAGGCGACUUUCUGGUCUGUAACUGACGCUGAUGUGCGAAAGC
Molecule: ribosomal RNA, 424 nt
Filed under: uncultured Staphylococcus sp.
Lineage: Bacteria; Bacillati; Bacillota; Bacilli; Caryophanales; Staphylococcaceae
Description: bacterial SSU rRNA
Rfam family: Bacterial small subunit ribosomal RNA
Source: RNAcentral